Alexandromys fortis (reed vole) is the source of this 4075-nucleotide RNA transcript. It is a transcript of the gene named prominin 1, with no coding region annotated. Lineage: Eukaryota; Metazoa; Chordata; Mammalia; Rodentia; Cricetidae. The transcript is spliced from 27 exons. The record is from RefSeq and is a predicted model, not a curated record.
CCGACCGGGCUGAGCGCACCCUCUUCUAGAACACCCAGGGCAUGGAAUGGGAAGUGGAGGAGGUCGUCCAGCGCCUCCUAGCUCCUCCACAGCAGGUGGCGGGAGCCUAGGUUGCAUUCCCAGAGCUGGAGGGGCUGCAAGGUGGUUUAGGUCCCGGCUACCGGGCGAUCCCGGGAUCUGAAGGGCCAGCUAGAGCGUGCAAACUUUUUCCCGUGGUGGUGACCGGCUCCGCGCGGUAUUGCUUUGCUCGGGUGCUUCUUCCAUCCUAUGGAAGGGGUGGAGGUCCCUGGGUUCCGGAGACGUGAGCAGGCGGCGGCGAGACUCCCAGGCCCUCGGCCGGCUAUCGGAAAGGGCGGCGAGAGCAGAGGAGGAUUGGGUCUCAAGACUCAGCCCUCAGUCCUCGUCUUGAGAAUUCUUCUGCGGCAUGGUCCUUUGAGUGAAUGACCUCUUUGGAGACCAUUCCUCUGCUCCUCUUGCUACCAUCCAGGAGGCAGAAGAUUCCACAGGUCCAGAAAAGGCCCAUUGUUCCCAGCUUUCAAGAAACUAUCUCAUGCUUGGGGCAUUAGGAUGACCAUGGCUCUUGUAUUCGGUGUCCUGCUGCUACUGGGGCUGUGUGGAAAUAUUGCUUCAGGAGGUCAGCCUGUGUCCACAAGCACUCCUGGGGCUUUGGAUUAUGAAUUGCCUACCUCAGAGUAUGAGACCCCAGACACAUUCAAUGCCGGGACCGUUGGCCCUCUCUACCGAAUGGUGCACAUCUUCCUCCAGGUGGUCCAGCCGAAUGAUUUCCCCCAAGAUAUGAUCAGAAAAAUCAUACAGAGGAAUUUUGACUUCUCAGUUGACUCAAAGGAGAUUGCCUACUAUGAAAUUGGAAUCCUUGUCUGCACCAUCCUGGGACUGCUCUUUAUUAUCCUCAUGCCUCUGGUGGGCUACUUCUUCUGUGUGUGCCGCUGUUGUAACAAAUGUGGCGGAGAGAUGCACCAGCGGCAGAAGGAGAACGAGUCGUGCCGGAGGAAAAGCUUUGCUCUUUCACUCUUGGUCAUUUGUCUGCUCAUGAGCCUUGGCAUCAUGUAUGGUUUUGUGGCCAACCACCAGGUAAGGACCACGAUCAAAAGGACCGAGAAUCUGACAGAGAGCAAUUUCAGAGACUUGCAAACAUUCCUGAAUGAAACCCCAAAGCAAAUUGACUAUAUACUGGCUCAGUACACCAACACCAAGAACAAGGCAUUCUCAGACCUGGAUGGUGUUGAUUCCUUGCUGGGAGGCAGAAUAAAGGACCAAGUAAAACCCAAAGUAAUCCCCGUUCUCGAUGAGAUUAAGGCCAUGGUGACAGCCAUCAGGCAGACCAGGGACACCCUGAAGAGCAUGAAUGACAGCCUUACGCGCAUACAUGACAGGAGCGCACAACUCAGCGCCAACCUGACCGAUGUGAAAAAAAGCAUGGAGACUUCGCUCAACAACAACUGUGCUUCAGAGCCGGCCAAAGAUAUCUGUGACAACAUCAGAUCAGAGCUAAGCAAUCUGGGGAGCAACCUCGAUCCCAACCAGCUCCCGUCUGUGGAUGAAGAACUCACCAAAGUCAAUGACAUCUGCAAGACUGAUCUGGAGAGCCUCGUCGACAAGGGGUACGCGUCGAUUGAUGAAAUACCUGGUAAGGUAAAAGAGCAAACCGUGGAUGUCGUCGCAGACGUCAAAAGGGCCUUGGAUUCCGUCAGCUCCACCGUUCAGAACGUGAGCCAAAGUCUUCCUAUUGAGGAGGUGCUGUCCCAGGUCUCCCGUUACCUUAACGACAGCAACAGUUACUUCCGCCAGGAGCUGCCCAAACUGGAAGAAUACGACUCAUACUGGUGGCUGGGUGGCUUGAUUGUCUGCUUCCUGCUGACCCUCAUUGUGACCUUCUUCUUCCUGGGCUUGCUGUGUGGUGUGUGUGGCUACGACAGGCAUGCCACCCCAACCAGAAGAGGCUGCGUGUCCAACACUGGAGGCAUCUUCCUCAUGGCCGGGGUUGGAUUCAGCUUCCUCUUUUGCUGGAUAUUGAUGAUCCUUGUGGUUCUUACUUUUGUCGUUGGUGCAAAUGUGGAAAAGUUGAUCUGUGAACCUUAUGCAAACAAGCAAUUAUUACAGCUUUUGGACACUCCCCACCUGCUAAGAGAAGACUGGCAGUUCUAUCUCUCGGGCCUGAUGCUCAACAACCCAAACAUUAACCUGACAUUUGAACAAGUUUACAGUGAUUGCAAAAAAGGUCGGGGUGUAUACGCUACCUUUCAGCUUGAGCAUGUUUUCAACGUCAGCGAGAAUUUCAACAUUGAGAAGCAUACUGGAAAAAUAAUCAAGGAGUUGGACAACCUGAAUGUGGAUAUUGAUAACAUUGAACUGCUCAACAAAACAGGAAGGGACAAUCUGCAGAACUUUGUAAAAUCCGGGAUAGAUGCAAUCGAUUAUCCCACGUACUUGAAGGAGGCUGAGAAAUCUCCUACCAUAGUAGAUCUGCUGGUGGUUGCUUCUUCUCUGGAAGAAAAGACAGACAAGUUGCCUGACGGAAACCUGAAGCAGGACUUGAAAACACAGGUGCAGAGAAUUAAAGACAUUCACGAGCAGGAAGUCCUUCCUCUGCAGAAAUCACUGAAUACUUUAAAACAAAAUAUCCGGACACUUGAGCACAUAAGCGAGAAGUUGCCGGAGAGAGUGAACAAGACCAUCAUGUCUUUGGAUUCUGCUCAGAAUUUCCUCAUCAGUAACAUUUCCUCUAUUGUUAUUGAAGAAACGAAGAAGUUUGCGAAAACAAUAGUAGGCUACUUUGAACACUACCUGCACUGGGUCUUGUAUGCCGUCACAGAGAAGAUGACAUCCUGCAAACCUGUGGUCACUGCGAUGGACUCGGCUGUCAGUGGUGUUCUGUGUAGCUAUGCUACUGACCCUCUGAAUUUGUUCUGGUUCGGCAUCGGACAAGCUACGGUGCUCUUGCUUCCCGCUGUGAUCAUCGCUGUCAAGCUGGCCAAGUACUAUCGCAGGAUGGAUUCAGAGGACAUAUAUGACGAUGUUGAAACUGUCCCCAUGAAAAAUUUGGAAAACGGUAGUAAUGGUUAUCAUAAAGAUCACUUAUAUGGUGUUCACAAUCCCGUUAUGACAAGGUAAAAGAAAGCCUGGAGUGCAUGCCUAGCCUGGGCCCAUCUCGUUACUGACAAUUGAAAAGGAAAAUUGCUUGAGCGUCAAGGCAGUCAAAGUGGAAAGGAUCCCAGACUUUGGAUAGUUUCUGAGUCUUCUAGAACUUUCCAAGUCCAGAAGGAAUCAUGGUGGCAAAUGUGGAGACUCAGGCGGGCACUGAGAACAUGGCACCAGUGGUCUUAGGGUAUAGCACUUUGUCAGGAACGAACAGUCAUGGCUAUAAUCCACGUGUCCAUCGCUAUCCAAGGAUGACUCUCCCCUGUUUUUAACUUUUUUUUACAUUGAAUUUCUAUUAGACACUAAAAUAUAUGGGGCUUCUUGGUCCCGCUGGAUACAUUCACCUUUGAGCCAGCUCUUUGGAUGUCAUAGCUGCGUACCUAACUUACUUCCAUAUGUGGAGUGUGCUAAACACAAACCAGUUUACAAAAAAAAAAAAAAGGUGUAUUUUGCAUAUAGUAAAUUGUAUAUAUACUCUUCUACCACAGUCGGGGUUUUUUUUUUUUUUACACAAAUGAAUACUCUAGAUUUUUCUCCUAAAUGAGGUUCCCUUUGGGUUGGGCUAUAGAAAGGAUUCUGUAUGCAUCGAAAGUGUGUGAGCCCUGCAGCAGGCCCGUCCUUCCUCGUGGAUCUUCCUCUGCUGGUUGCCAGUCUGCCUGUUGGACAAAAAGAUGCCUGCUUGACACUACUGGCAAAUUCAGAACAGAGAGAACUCGAGAGAAGGAAGCAUCGCUCAGCCAGAAGCGGAAUGGUUUUCACAGAUGCCAGGCCUGGUUCACGGUUUAGUGGCACACUUUCUGAUUUGUGAGGGUGGGCUAUAAGUUCUGUGUCAUCUGAUUAUUAGUGGGGUUCUAAAAUGAGGGGCAAGAACACCUGUCAUGAUUCUGAGAUCUGAAAUAAAGCGUGGAUGAAUGGA